Molecule: non-coding RNA, 808 nt
Organism: Oryctolagus cuniculus (rabbit)
Lineage: Eukaryota; Metazoa; Chordata; Mammalia; Lagomorpha; Leporidae
Source: RefSeq, a predicted model, not a curated record
UUCUCCAUCAUGUACCCUUCCCUCCCUAGCUUCUCCCAUGAGCAUCUAAUCCAACUAUAACCUUUAAUUUUUACACAUGGUUCUGCUUCCCCAGCUGAUCUCCUACUGAUAGAAUAACCAACACUUUGCACUAUGGGAGCUGCAGAAGAAAUAAGUCUGUAAUCUCAAGGGGCUUGCAACUCACAGAGGAGAAGGAGCAUUUUAACCCAGCCAGCUGGGGACUCAUGGCAGCUUGUGGUCUCGGGCCCCUUAUCAAUACGAGAAUGGAAAGAAAGUUUCUGACAUAUUGGAUGAAAAUGUGGCGUGCAGAUGGAAACAAAUGCUGACAUUGAAGAUUUCCCCUCCAGCCAACAGAAAUUUCCCCUGCCCACCACACUUGGGGUUAAAUACCAAAGAAAAAUAAUAUCUGAGAAAGAAAAGAUCCAGAAUUGCAGCUCGAGAUUAAAUCAUGGAUAACAUCAAAGGAAGCUUCUUGGCCGGCGCCGUGGCUCUCUAGGCUAAUCCUCCGCCUAGCAGCGCCGGCACACCAGGUUCUAGUCCCGGUUGGGGCACCGGAUUCUGUCCCGGUUGCCCCUCUUCCAGGCCAGCUCUCUGCUGUGGCCAGGGAGUGCAGUGGAGGAUGGCCCAGGUGCUUGGGCCCUGCACCCCAUGGGAGACCAGGAAAAGCACCUGGCUCCUGGCUCCUGGCUCCUGCCAUCGGAUCAGCGCGGUGCGCCGGCCACAGCGCGCCGGCUGCUGCGGCCAUUGGAGGGUGAACCAACGGCAAAGGAAGACCUUUCUCUCUGUCUCUCUCUCUCACUGUCCACUC